CAGCCGCCGCGGUAAUACGAGGGGGGCAAGCGUUGUUCGGAUUUAUUGGGCGUAAAGGGCGCGUAGGCGGUUUGGCAAGUCUUGUGUGAAAUCUUCGGGCUCAACCCGAAGCCUGCACGAGAAACUACCGGGCUUGAGUAUUGGAGAGGUGAGUGGAAUUUCCGGUGUAGCGGUGAAAUGCGUAGAUAUCGGAAGGAACACCUGUGGCGAAAGCGGCUCACUGGACAAUAACUGACGCUGAUGCACGAAAGCUAGGGGAGCAAACAGGAUUAGAUACCCCGGUAGUCCCUGUCUCUUAUAC
This 301-nucleotide ribosomal RNA is filed under the name uncultured bacterium. RNAcentral's name for it is "partial 16S ribosomal RNA". It matches the Rfam family "Bacterial small subunit ribosomal RNA", at positions 509 to 807 of the family's 1533-position model. The record is from RNAcentral.